Molecule: long non-coding RNA, 305 nt
Filed under: Vigna radiata
Lineage: Eukaryota; Viridiplantae; Streptophyta; Magnoliopsida; Fabales; Fabaceae
Description: long non-coding RNA (VRAD_LNC012092)
Source: RNAcentral
UAUCACAAGGACUUUUCCAAGGCUUACAAUGAGGCUGGGCUAACAAGAAAAAUUGGUUUUUCUGGAUCACAAAAUCCUUGAGUCAAGAGAGCUAUUUUAACAUUCAAAGUUCAAGUACAAACUCUCUUUUUCACCAAUCUCACUCAUUCCCAACUUCUUCCCUUUUCUUUUUUUUUUUUUACAUUGAGCUCAUCUUUCAUGGUUUUUCUUUUCUCAUGCAUUUUUCUUUUUCACCUUUAGAGCUCAAUGCUUCUCUUUUGCCUUUUAACUUUCCCCAAACAACCCCAAACUUGAACCUUUUUAAU